RNAcentral lists this small RNA (116 nucleotides) under Epilithonimonas arachidiradicis. RNAcentral describes it as "Chryseobacterium arachidiradicis Flavo-1 RNA". It matches the Rfam family "Flavo-1 RNA". The record is from RNAcentral. Lineage: Bacteria; Pseudomonadati; Bacteroidota; Flavobacteriia; Flavobacteriales; Weeksellaceae.
CCAUAGCCCCGAUAGGAACGGCAUCCUUUUUUGUUAUUGCGAUGGGUAAUGGUUCAACAGAUUGUUUCACUUCGUUCGCAAUAACAAAAAAGAUAUAGUGGAUAGCGGGAUUAAGC